RNAcentral lists this transfer RNA (71 nucleotides) under Ictidomys tridecemlineatus (thirteen-lined ground squirrel). RNAcentral describes it as "Spermophilus tridecemlineatus (thirteen-lined ground squirrel) tRNA". It matches the Rfam family "tRNA". From Rfam's summary of the family: Transfer RNA (tRNA) molecules are approximately 80 nucleotides in length. Their secondary structure includes four short double-helical elements and three loops (D, anti-codon, and T loops). The record is from Rfam by way of RNAcentral. Lineage: Eukaryota; Metazoa; Chordata; Mammalia; Rodentia; Sciuridae.
GGGGAUGUAGCUCAGUGUAAAGUGCUUGCCUAGCACGCAUAAGGCCCUAGGUUCAAUCCCCAGUAUUCCUC